This 363-nucleotide unclassified non-coding RNA is filed under the name uncultured Thermomicrobiales bacterium. Its description in RNAcentral is "contains 16S-23S intergenic spacer region". Lineage: Bacteria; Pseudomonadati; Thermomicrobiota; Thermomicrobia; Thermomicrobiales. The record is from RNAcentral.
UCCGGUUUGUCACCGGCAGUCUGGCUAGAAACAUCGGCAACUAACCACGGGGGUUGCGCUCGUUGCGGGACUUAACCCAACAUCUCACGAUACGAGCUGACGACAGCCAUGCAGCACCUGUGCUCCACCCUCGAAGGCCAACCGCUUUCACGGCUCUGCAGGAGCAUGUCAAGCCCUGGUAAGGUUCUACGCGUUGCGUCGAAUUAAACCGCACGCUCCGCCGCUUGUGCGGGCCCCCGUCAAUUCCUUUGAGUUUUAGCCUUGCGGCCGUACUCCCCAGGCGGCAGACUUCACGCGUUGGCUUCGGCACGGAGGGGGUCAAGUCCCCCCACGCCUAGUCUGCAUCGUUUACUGCGUGGACUA